RNAcentral lists this transfer RNA (73 nucleotides) under Bos grunniens (domestic yak). It matches the Rfam family "tRNA". Rfam says of the family: Transfer RNA (tRNA) molecules are approximately 80 nucleotides in length. Their secondary structure includes four short double-helical elements and three loops (D, anti-codon, and T loops). The record is from Rfam by way of RNAcentral. RNAcentral also lists the same sequence under 2 other names. Lineage: Eukaryota; Metazoa; Chordata; Mammalia; Artiodactyla; Bovidae.
UCCCUGGUGGUCCAGUGGCCAAGACGCUACACUCCCAAUGCAGGGGUCCUUGGUUCAAUCCCUGGUCAGGUAA